GCAGCUGGAUCACAGUUGGGUUCAGCUCCCAAAUAUAUGCUAAAUAAAACCAAAAAAAAUCUGAAAAAACCUGAAGUUGUGAACAAUGUCAGAAGAGAUUAGAAAUCCAAAGGCUUCCAUCGCUUGGAUCCAAAUUCAGAGUUUUGGUGUCUGUCUGGGAAGUGGAAGAGGUAUAGGAAGUGAGGAGAGCCACAUUGUCAUUGAUUCAAAUAAGUAGGAGCAGUUUGUCUGUUUUAACCCAACCUCAUGCUGUGUUGCUGUUGCCACUGCUAUGCAUGUUUCUCUAAUCAGCCACAUGACGCAUUCAUUGUCUGUCUUCUGAAACACUGCAUCUUUAUGAAUGGCAUGCUGCCUGGUGCAAGUUUGAAGAGCCCUGAUAUGGAUUAGAACCCUGCCUGCUGAAGCAAAGCAAUUUGAGAAGUACUCUGAGAAUAAAAGAUCCGGUUAAGAUGGCUCCACUUAGAGGUCUAAAAAUGAGUUGGGAGAAAAAUUGUUGCUUCGAUGGUGGUAGGAAUUUUAAUGUUAACAAUACUUUCAUCCUGAAGCUGUUUUAUUGCAUAGAUUGGAGCCCACACUUGAAAUUUGUCAAUCGUGU
Molecule: long non-coding RNA, 595 nt
Organism: Vidua macroura (Pin-tailed whydah)
Lineage: Eukaryota; Metazoa; Chordata; Aves; Passeriformes; Viduidae
Exons: 3
Source: RefSeq, a predicted model, not a curated record